GUGGACUAUUGUGGUGCGUGGACUAUUGAGUACAUGGACUACCCAAUAUGUGAACUGUUGGAUGCGUGGACCACUGAGUAUGUAGACCGCCGAGUAUGUGGACUACUACAUGUGUAGAUUACUGGAUGCGUGGACUAUUGGGGUGCGUGGACUAUUGAGUACAUGGACUACCCAAUAUGUGAACUGUUGGAUGCGUGGAUCCCUGAGUAUGUAGACCGCCGAGUAUGUGGACUACUACAUGUGUAGACUACUGGAUGCGUGGACUAUUGUGAAUCCAGAAAAACGUUGCCUGACAUACGAGCAGUUAAAGAAGCCAGCACGAAACAGUGAUCACAACGACCAGUAUCAAAAAGUAAAUCACAGAAUGGUGGACAGUGGGCCGGCAUAGUCUUUCGGUAAAGAAACGACGUCUCGUGUGAUUCACGCGACGCGUCUGCCUGUGCUCCUCGCAACGAAGACCGCGACCUAUCAAUAGCUGCUCAUAUACAGUGAAGAGGGACUGUCAUUCCACCGAAGGCUAAAAAUAGAGUUCGCGCGUCCGUCUAUAAAGCUGCUGCUUCGAGAACUCCUGUACCACCGCCUCUCACUCUUCGUUCGACCAUUCUUUCUUCCUCUCUCCGACAUUCUUUCCUCUCUCUUCCAUCUUCUUUCUUCUUUCUUUUUAUCUUACCGUCUCUGUAUUUAUAGUUCCGCGCGAAACACUUCCCUGCUACAUACUCUUCGUUCAUGCUUCGAUCGAAAUGCGUCUGCAUCAAAACUUUUGGGUAUUUCGUCGAUGCAUGGGUCACUGGGACCCCAGGCAUUCGGGAUAUGAGCUAUGACGUGAUUUGAUGCUAAUUUAUAUGCGAGAUAUUGCAUUUUGGGUUCUUAGAUUUUGAGUAGUUAGAUUUUGGGUACUUAGAUUCUGGAUACUUAGGUUAUUGAUUUGUGUAAUUGUAUUAUUGCAUCUUUGGGUUAUUGCAGUGUUUGAAUGUAGAUGGAUCUUUGGAUAGAUGAACUCUUACAUGGGUGGAUUCCUAGGUGCAUGGAUCUCUGGAUGGGUGGAUUCCUAAAUAUAUGGAUGAGUGGAUUUUUGGGAAGGUGAAUUCUACGAAGAGUGGAUUCUUGAAUGGAUGGAUUUGUGGAUGAGUAGAUUUCUGGAUAGGUGGAUCUGUGGAAGGGUGGAUUCUUGAAUGGGUAGAGUUUUAAAUGGGUAGAUAUCUGGAUGGAUGGAAUCCUAAAUAGGUGGAUCUAUGGAUGAGUGGAUUCUUGGAUGGGUGGAUUCCUAGGUGUGUGGAUCUCUGAAUAGGUGGAUUCCUAAAUAGGUGGAUCUCUGGAUGGGUGGAUUUCUAAACAGGUGGAUCUGUGGAUAGGUGGAUUUUUGGAAAAGUUAAUUCUUUGAAAGGUGGAUUCUAGAAUGGGUGGAUUUCUAGAUGGGUGCAUCUCUGGAUGGGUGGAUUCCUAAAUUGGUGGAUUUGUGGAUGGAUGGAUUCCUAAAUAGGUGGAUUUCUGAAUGGGUGGAUUCUUGAAUGGGUGAAUUUGUAGAUGGAUGGAUUUGUGGAUGAGUGGAUUCCUAAAUAGGUGAAUCUGUGGAAGGGUGAAUUCUUGAAUAAAUAGAUUUGUAGAUGGGUGAAUCUCUGACUAGAUGGAUUCCUAAAUAGAUGGAUCUGUGGAUGAGUUGUCAUCUCAAAAUCUUGUACCUCUCAGUCCCCUAAACUCCUAACUACCAUCCUCCUCCAUCCUCCUUCAUCUUAUCUUCGCAAUCGAUGACGUGAAUCUUCCAACAACUAAUCUAAUGUCUUCUUCUUUGCAGAAACCUUGUACCCACCGUGUGAAGUUUAAGGUGAAGCCGAUAAAUCAUCUCGAAAAGAAGAAACGUAAACGUGGAUCUAAACGAGAGGCUAAUGGCAGCCAUCAAAGAAGAGCACGUAAGAACGGUAGCCAGUCAAGGACGGAGCUUAUGAAGAUUGGCUAAAUUAAACUCCAUUAGGACAGUCGUGGCCGUUUUGUCCCGACGAUAAAUGCAUGCGCGACAGAACCCGUGUAACUAUGAUAGAGAGCAUUAAUUGAACCGCACAGAGCGACGGGCUCCGAAUCGCUUUACGAUUGACCCCGAAUUUAUUUCCACAUUCUUAACCCACAAUCAAACGUUCGCGGGUCACGUUAUUAACCCAAUGGUAUUAACCCGUCUAUGAAUCAACCGGACUAAACUUUCGCUACGUCAAGUGAUUCUUAUUUGUCCUCGUUGCUGAUACCCCUUUAUCGAUCGUUUUAUAUUUUCUAUAAAUCGUUUGUAAUAACUGGUUUUACGACGUUUUCAACAUACUAAUCGAUUAUUAAUCGGGCUUAUUUCGUCUGGGUUCGUGGAUACAAUUUUAUUGAUGGCGAAAGUGUAGUGUGGUAUAUUUAUUUUUGUCGAAUCAAUUUGUACAUCUUAUUCUUAAUUUAUUAUAGUCGGUAUAGGAACACACACCGAAAAUUUGUAAUAUAUUUAUUUAUAAUUUUUAAUAUAUCGUAUGAGUAACUUGUAUAUCGUAUGAGUAAUCGUGUGAGUAACUUGAAGAAAGGUUCGUAGAGAGACUCACUGUGUAUUCUAGCGUAUUCAGAAUUAUUGUAACCUCUUUACGCAGUUGUAAUAAUAUGCUCCUACGAAAGUGUCAAGCAAGGUGCGAACGAAAUCUUGUUCCUCCCAAACCUUAUCAUUCGAGAAUGUUUACACGAAAUGCAAAUUAUAUCGUUAAUGAUACAGUGGAGAGAUAAUAAAAAAUAUAAGAACCGAAAGAUAAUGAUAUAGUAUAAGUUUGUCGGAACAGAAAGGUUAGGCCUUCACCUUUCAUCGAGAAAGUCCGGAAGAGAACCACUUAAACUCAGCUAAUUGGCUGUGGUAGUGCAUUUAUCCGUUGAAAAUCAUGCUCGUUAGUGCACGGAGUAUUAUUAGUGGACUGUAAAAAGCUGUCGGUGAAAAAAUGCCCGAUUUACUAACCGGGAGUUGUUCGUAAAUCGAAGUUCGCUCGAUCGUGACGAUCUGCGAGGUAAUAUUCGUUGUAAUUAAUACGUGUAAAACACCGUAUACAUUCCCAUUUAAGAGAAAAAGACAUCGCCUUGAAGUUUCGACGGUUCCUGCUACGAGGUCAAGAUUUAUGUACGAAAUAAAAUGUCCUCUCGAAACGAGCCGAAACUUUCGUCCGACACGUUUGUCCGUGUAAUUCGCGGAACGAAAUGGUGUUCGACGUCCAAAGAUCAAAAUGGGCGCCGUGUUCCGAAAAUGUCCAGAAAUCGAGUUAAAUAUAACUCGCCGGUAACCGAGCAUAAAAUUUGCAUCAUUAACGGUGAACGAAGUCGUAAACUGAAUAUCGUUAUUCUAAAAGUGUCCUACGCAAUAUCUUGAUAAGUUUGCGGCCGAUAUUUCGAGACGGCAGGAAAAAGAAAAGGAAACGGACGAUCAAAGGAACAGGAGAGAGGAGAAUCAAGGUUAAAAAGUUACGGAAAUUUUCAUGCAAAUGUUAUUCAGGAAGUUUGUUGUCUCGUGGUCGAGAAACGUUGAUCUUGACGGGAAAGGGCAAGAAUAUCGAUGACGUGUGCGCAAGGGAGAGCGGCAUUUAUCGCUUGGUCGCGUAUCGAACGCGAGACAACGGGGUUCCUCUUGCGAGACAAGCAUGCAAAUGAUCGACCGACAAUUCGACUAAUUUUAUUCGUAAGACAAAUUCCAUAUUACAGCUAUUAGUUAUUUAUGUGGGAGUGUAAUAUAUUUAUGUAUGGUUUGAUGUAGAAUGUAUGUAUAGUUUAUCACUGUGAAAUUGUGUGUAUGACUGCAAGCGUGAAUGGUGAUUAAUGAAAGAAACGUGAAAUGUUGUGCGCCGCGAAAUACAAAUUAUAAUAUUCUACGUAUUACAAUUUUACUACGUUUAAUAGUUCCAUAUGUUAUUGUACUCUUAUUGCGAGUUAAUUGUUGUGUUCUCUUAAAUAAAAGGAUAGUUAUUAAAACUCUA
Molecule: unclassified non-coding RNA, 3968 nt
Filed under: Megachile rotundata (alfalfa leafcutting bee)
Lineage: Eukaryota; Metazoa; Arthropoda; Insecta; Hymenoptera; Megachilidae
Description: uncharacterized LOC105662166, transcript variant X8
Source: RNAcentral